AAACGGUAACAGGAUGUGCUUGCACAUCGCUGACGAGUGGCGGACGGGUGAGUAAUGCUUAGGGAUCUGCCUCUGUGUGGGGGAUAACUAUUGGAAACGAUAGCUAAUACCGCAUAAUGUUUACGGACCAAAGGGGGCGUUUGCUCCCGCGCAGAGAGGAACCUAAGUGAGAUUAGCUAGUUGGUAAGGUAAUGGCUUACCAAGGCGACGAUCUCUAGCUGUUCUGAGAGGAAGAUCAGCCACACUGGGACUGAGACACGGCCCAGACUCCUACGGGAGGCAGCAGUGGGGAAUAUUGCACAAUGGGGGGAACCCUGAUGCAGCCAUGCCGCGUGUGUGAAGAAGGCCUUCGGGUUGUAAAGCACUUUCAGUUGUGAGGAAAGGUUAGUAGUUAAUACCUGCUAGCUGUGACGUUAGCAACAGAAGAAGCACCGGCUAACUCCGUGCCAGCAGCCGCGGUAAUACGGAGGGUGCGAGCGUUAAUCGGAAUUACUGGGCGUAAAGCGCACGCAGGCGGUUUGUUAAGCUCAGAUGUGAAAGCCCCGAGCUCAACUUGGGAUGGUCAUUUAGAACUGGCAGACUAGAGUCUUGGAGA
This 595-nucleotide ribosomal RNA is filed under the name uncultured Gammaproteobacteria bacterium. RNAcentral describes it as "bacterial SSU rRNA". It matches the Rfam family "Bacterial small subunit ribosomal RNA", at positions 64 to 655 of the family's 1533-position model. The record is from RNAcentral. Lineage: Bacteria; Pseudomonadati; Pseudomonadota; Gammaproteobacteria.